UGUGAAAUGAAGGGCUGAGCUUUGGGCAUU
This 30-nucleotide non-coding RNA is filed under the name Rattus norvegicus (Norway rat). The record is from RNAcentral. Lineage: Eukaryota; Metazoa; Chordata; Mammalia; Rodentia; Muridae.